RNAcentral lists this ribosomal RNA (1338 nucleotides) under metagenome. RNAcentral describes it as "bacterial LSU rRNA". It matches the Rfam family "Bacterial large subunit ribosomal RNA", at positions 1564 to 2910 of the family's 2925-position model. The record is from RNAcentral.
UGAGUGCGAGCGGCUACGGCCGCGAAGUGGGUGAUGUCAAGCUUCCAAGAAAAGCCCUAUACCCGUUAAGGCAUGAUGGCCUGUACCCGAAACCGACACAGGUGGGGUGGUAGAGAAUACCGAGGGGCGCGAGGUAACUCUCUCUAAGGAACUCGGCAAAAUGGCCCCGUAACUUCGGGAGAAGGGGUGCCACCGCAAGGUGGUCGCAGUGAAGAGGCCCAGGCGACUGUUUACCAAAAACACAGGUCUCCGCUAAGUCGCAAGACGAUGUAUGGGGGCUGACGCCUGCCCAGUGCCGGAAGGUUAAGGAAGCUGGUCAGCGCAAGCGAAGCUGGCGACUGAAGCCCCGGUGAACGGCGGCCGUAACUAUAACGGUCCUAAGGUAGCGAAAUUCCUUGUCGGGUAAGUUCCGACCCGCACGAAAGGCGUAACGAUCUGGGCGCUGUCUCGGAGAGAGGCUCGGCGAAAUAGAAUUGUCUGUGAAGAUGCGGACUACGUGCACCCGGACAGAAAGACCCUAUGAAGCUUUACUGUAGCUUGGUAUUGUGCCCGGGCUCUGAAUGCGCAGGAUAGGUGGGAGGCUUUGAUCCAUGGCUUGCGGGUCAUGGUGAGCCAACGGUGAGAUACCACUCUUUCAGAGCUAGGGUUCUAACGGUCACCCGUCAUCCGGGGACCGGACAGUAUCAGGUGGGCAGUUUGACUGGGGCGGUCGCCUCCUAAAAGGUAACGGAGGCGCGCAAAGGUUUGCUCAGGCUGGUUGGAAAUCAGCCGACGAGUGCAAAAGCAGAAGCAAGCUUGACUGUGAGACCUACAAGUCGAACGGGGACGAAAGUCGGCUUUAGUGAUCCGACGGUUCUGAGUGGAAGGGCCGUCGCUCAACGGAUAAAAGUUACUCUAAGGAUAACAGGCUGAUCUCCCCCAAGAGUUCACAUCGACGGGGAGGUUUGGCACCUCGAUGUCGGCUCAUCGCAACCUGGGGCUGAAGUCGGUCCCAAGGGUUGGGCUGUUCGCCCAUUAAAGCGGUACGCGAGCUGGGUUCAGAACGUCGUGAGACAGUUCGGUCCAUAUCCGGUGCACGCGCAGGAACAUUGAGAGGAUUUCUCCCUAGUACGAGAGGACCGGGAGGAACGCACCUCUGGUGUGCCAGUUAUCGUGCCAACGGUAAACGCUGGGUAGCCAUGUGCGGAGUGGAUAACCGCUGAAAGCAUCUAAGUGGGAAGCCCACCUCAAGAUGAGUGUUCCCAUGGCAUAAGCCAGUAAGGUCACGGGAAGAACACCCGUUGAUAGGCUCUACGUGGAAGCCGGGUAACCGGUGAAGCGGAGGAGUACUAAUAGACC